GUGGUUUGGCAGUGAAAGUCUCCCAUGAGAUCUCCUGAGGCUGAGGUGGCAUGGAUCUUCAUUUGGAUUUCAGGAGACAUGAACAACAGCAGCUUGUGAAGACAACACUUCUGUGAAGGGAGCCCACUGGUAUGUGUGUGGAGGGGAGCAGAGACAGAAAGGAAGUAAUAUUGAGUCACAGCAGUCAAGAAGGAUCAAAGAUUGGCUAUUUUUGACACACAAAAGGAGCAUCCAUUUCACUGCUCCAAGCAGCAGAGAAGCUGUGGCACAUCUUAAUGCUACUGGGAAAAAUCAGCUCGUGAAGGUGUUGGCUUUCCUUCUGCUGCCAUGAUUGCUUUUAUUCCCAGAGGAAAGUCAUCCAAGUAGAAGAAGAGAAGCCUCAAAGCUUAAAGUGGAGCUGCUGAGAUAUUUGCUCUAUGUUUUGGGCUUUUUACAAAGUGGUCUGGAUCAAGGCUGGAAAUUGUGAUUGUUGUGUAAAAGCCUGAGAUUUCAGGGCAGUGCUGGUUUCUGGGCAUAUACUUGGGAGUGAGAAAUGCUAAGACUGUGCUUGCUGAACUUGAACCUCUUUUCAUUGGCAACAGAAAAUUUUGUCAGGUUGUUCCUCUCCACCUCAUGUGAAGACCAUCUACCUAUUAUAAUCACUUAAUAAAUAAACUUGCUCCCUAUCUCUGCUUGCCUGG
Molecule: long non-coding RNA, 680 nt
Filed under: Parus major (Great Tit)
Lineage: Eukaryota; Metazoa; Chordata; Aves; Passeriformes; Paridae
Description: lncRNA (ENSPMJG00000009586.1)
Source: RNAcentral